AGUGAACGCUGGCGGUAGGCCUAACACAUGCAAGUCGAACGGAAGCACAGUAAGAGCGUGCUCUUACGGGUGGCGAGUGGCGGGCGGGUAAGGAGUGCAUAGGCAUCUACUUUUUCGUGGGGGAUAACGGAGGGAAGCAUACGCUACUAGCGCAUACGUUCUACGGGAUAAAUCAGUAGAUCUUCGCGCCUUUCGCGUUUGAAAUAGCCGAUGUCGGAUUAGCUAGUUGGUGUGGUAAAGGCUUACCAAGGCGACGAUACGUAGCCGAUCUGAGAGGAUGAUCGGCCACACUGGAACUGAGACACGGUCCAGACUCCUACGGGAGGCAGCAGUAGGGAAUAUUGGACAAUGGGCGAAAGCCUGACCCAGCAAUACCGCGUGAGUGAAGAAGGUCUUCGGGUUGUAAAGCCCUUUUGUUGGGAAAGAACAGCAGCAGGUUAAUCCCCCGCUGUUCUGACGGUACCCAAAGAAUAAGCACCGGCUAACUUCGUG
This 492-nucleotide ribosomal RNA is filed under the name uncultured bacterium. Its description in RNAcentral is "partial 16S ribosomal RNA". It matches the Rfam family "Bacterial small subunit ribosomal RNA", at positions 29 to 507 of the family's 1533-position model. The record is from RNAcentral.